Molecule: ribosomal RNA, 985 nt
Filed under: bacterium enrichment culture clone 1.15
Lineage: Bacteria
Description: bacterial SSU rRNA
Rfam family: Bacterial small subunit ribosomal RNA
Source: RNAcentral
GUUUGAUCCUGGCUCAGGAUGAACGCUGGCGGCGUGCCUAAUACAUGCAAGUCGAACGAGGUGCUUUUGUAGCAAUACGAAAGUAUCCUAGUGGCGAACGGGUGAGUAACGCGUUGGUGACCUGCCCCAAAGUGUGGGAUAACAGUCCGAAAGGAUUGCUAAUACCUCAUGUGGUCAUCGGGUUUAGAAACCGAUGACUAAAGCAGCAAUGCGCUUUGGGAGGGGCCUGCGUCCCAUCAGCUAGUUGGUGAGGUAAUGGCUCACCAAGGCGACGACGGGUAGGGGACCUGAGAGGGUGGCCCCCCACAAUGGAACUGAAACACGGUCCAUACACCUACGGGUGGCAGCAGUAGGGAAUAUUGCUCAAUGGGCGAAAGCCUGAAGCAGCAACGCCGCGUGCGCGAUGAAGGUCUUCGGAUCGUAAAGCGCUUUUAUGAGGGAUGAGAAAGGACAGUACCUCAGGAAUAAGUCUCGGCUAACUACGUGCCAGCAGCCGCGGUAAAACGUAGGAGGCAAGCGUUAUCCGGAUUCACUGGGCGUAAAGCGCGUGCAGGCGGUUCGGUAAGUUGGGCGUGAAAUCUCCUGGCUUAACUGGGAGAGGUCGUCCAAUACUACCGGACUUGAGAGUGAUAGAGGAAGAUGGAAUUCCCGGUGUAGUGGUGAAAUGCGUAGAUAUCGGGAGGAACACCAGUGGCGAAAGCGAUCUUCUGGAUCAUUUCUGACGCUCAGACGCGAAAGCUAGGGUAGUAAACGGGAUUAGAGGCCCCGGUAAUCCUAGCCGUAAACGAUGUAAACUUGGCGUUGGUGGCUUAAACACCAUCAGUGCCGCAGCUAACGCGAUAAGUUUACCGCCUGGGGACUACGAUCGCAAGAUUAAAACUCAAAGGAAUUGACGGGGGCCCGCACAAGCAGCGGAGCGUGUGGUUUAAUUCGAUGCUACACGAAGAACCUUACCCGGGUUUGACAUGCAAGUGGUAGUGAUCUG